Molecule: long non-coding RNA, 392 nt
Filed under: Mytilus galloprovincialis (Mediterranean mussel)
Lineage: Eukaryota; Metazoa; Mollusca; Bivalvia; Mytilida; Mytilidae
Source: RNAcentral
GUAUGUAUGUGCCUGUCCCCAGUCAGAAGCAUGUAAUUCAGUGGUUGUCGUUUAUAUUAUUGUUAUUGUUGCUUUGUUACAUACUUGUUUUUUGUUCAUUUUUUGUACAUCAAUUAGUCCGUUAGUUUGAAUUGUUUUACCUUUGUCUUUUCUGGGCCUUUUAUAGCUGACUAUGCGGUAUGGGCUUUGCUCAUUGUUUAAGGUCGUACGGUGACCUAUAAUUAUUUAUGUUUGUGUCAUUUGAUCUUUUGUUAAAGGUUGUCUCAUUGGCAAUCAUACAACAUCUUCUUUUUUAUAUUUACAAUGUAGUAUCGUUAUUAAUGUUAAUGUAUUACCAGCUAAAAUGCCGAAGUGUACUUUUAUAGCAUGCGAGAAAUCUUUCUUUGUCAUGC